AGUGAACGCUGGCGGUAGGCCUAACACAUGCAAGUCGAACGGCAGCACAGUAAGAGCUUGCUCUUACGGGUGGCGAGUGGCGGACGGGUGAGGAAUACAUCGGAAUCUACUUUUUCGUGGGGGAUAACGUAGGGAAACUUACGCUAAUACCGCAUACGACCUACGGGUGAAAGCAGGGGAUCUUCGGACCUUGCGCGAUUGAAUGAGCCGAUGUCGGAUUAGCUAGUUGGCGGGGUAAAGGCCCACCAAGGCGACGAUCCGUAGCUGGUCUGAGAGGAUGAUCAGCCACACUGGAACUGAGACAAGGUCCAGACUCCUACGGGAGGCAGGAGUGGGGAAUAUUGGACCAUGGGCGGAAGCCUGAUCCAGCCAUACCGCGUGGGUGAAGAAGGCCUUCGGGUUGUAAAGCCCUUUUGUUGGGAAAGAAAAGCAGCAGGUUAAUACCCCGCUGUUCUGACGGUACCCAAAGAAUAAGCACCGGCUAACUUCGUG
Molecule: ribosomal RNA, 492 nt
Filed under: uncultured bacterium
Lineage: Bacteria
Description: partial 16S ribosomal RNA
Rfam family: Bacterial small subunit ribosomal RNA
Source: RNAcentral